This 529-nucleotide ribosomal RNA is filed under the name uncultured bacterium. Its description in RNAcentral is "bacterial SSU rRNA". It matches the Rfam family "Bacterial small subunit ribosomal RNA", at positions 777 to 1304 of the family's 1533-position model. The record is from RNAcentral.
AAUAGAUACCCUGGUAGUCCACGCCGUAAACGAUGAGUGCUAAGUGUUAGAGGGUUUCCGCCCUUUAGUGCUGCAGCUAACGCAUUAAGCACUCCGCCUGGGGAGUACGGCCGCAAGGCUGAAACUCAAAGGAAUUGACGGGGGCCCGCACAAGCGGUGGAGCAUGUGGUUUAAUUCGAAGCAACGCGAAGAACCUUACCAGGUCUUGACAUCCUCUGCCAACCCUAGAGAUAGGGCGUUCCCCUUCGGGGGACAGAGUGACAGGUGGUGCAUGGUUGUCGUCAGCUCGUGUCGUGAGAUGUUGGGUUAAGUCCCGCAACGAGCGCAACCCUUGAUCUUAGUUGCCAGCAUUCAGUUGGGCACUCUAAGGUGACUGCCGGUGACAAACCGGAGGAAGGUGGGGAUGACGUCAAAUCAUCAUGCCCCUUAUGACCUGGGCUACACACGUGCUACAAUGGAUGGUACAAAGAGCUGCGAACCCGCGAGGGUAAGCGAAUCUCAUAAAGCUAUUCUCAGUUCGGAUUAUAGG